UAGUUUACUAAUAUAUCCUUAUCUUUUUUUCUUUCUAUUUUGCUAAACAGAGGAAUUGAGAAGUAUUUGACGCUAGAAAAUUAAAGGCGCCAUUGCCUCCACCUUACAAAUCUUCGUAACCAGCUGCUCAUAGUGAUGAUGAAAUACAAUUAGAUAAUGUAUUUAACAAACACUUGUCUAAAAUUCAUUAAUGGUUGUUGUAAAUAACUUAUCUUGUGAUUGUUCUGUUCUAAAUCUCAAAUCUCAUGAUAUGAAAGAGGUUGAUUGUGUUUCUGUGGAUUCAGAUAAUGAAUUCUAAAUCUCAAAUCUCAUGAUAUGGAAGAGGUUGAUUGAGUUUGUAUAGAUUCGGAUAAUGAAUUUUGGCUCAUAAAAUAGGGAAGAAAUAGAGUCUGUUUUCAUUAAUCAACGUCGCCUAACUGAAAUUCAUGUGGCUAGUGGCUAUGAUAACUGGGUUGUGUGCAUUUCGGAUAUAUGGUCCAAGUUGUGAGAUGUAGCUUACAGUUUUUUGGUUAAAUAGGCUGUAGAUUUGAAUUCCUGGGUCAAUAAGAGAAACAAAAUAUGGGUAUUGUUCUACUAUCCAAAAACCUUAAAAAUACUGUUUAAAUAGCCUCAAAUGGAUAUAUCACCCAAUUAUUACAACUUUUCUUUAGGACGGAUGACUAAAAAAUCCUUUCUUCUUUUUUUAUAUCAAUAUCCUCGAACCUCCAUUGAUACAGUUGAGUUUUCUCCUCCACCACCUCCGGGUAAACAGAAAUUGAUCGAGAUCGUGUCUUAACAUGAUUUCGAUAAUAUUUUUUAUCCACAGAGGUUUUGUUUUCUAGGUCUCUCUCCCAAUCUAGAAUUGAAUCUUCAAUCAACAGAUUUCAGGUAUCGAAUCAUUAGAUCAAAAAAGGUGUAACCUUUUUAAUUUUUGGAUUUUGUUUGCGAAAUGUUGAUGGAGAUUCAACAAAUUGGACCAGCCGAGCAACUCACUUUGGAUUCAACAUUGAGUCUGCUGUUAGUGGAGAUACGGAUUUAGUGGAGUUACCGAUUUUUUAAAGCUUCACAUGUUCACAUGCUUCAGUCAUGAGAUGGCUUCAGUGGUUUGUUCAUAAGCAUACUUCACACAUUUAUUUUGUUUGAGACAAUAAAUUAGUGAUUUUAGUGGUGUAUAAUGUUUUGGUCAGUAAUGGUGAUGAAUCCGAUCAAUAGGAGCUUAGUUUGGAGUUAAACAUCACCAAUUUUUAAUGGAAGAAGUUAUGCAGGAACGUGUAUGUAAUGGCCGUGAAUAAAAAAUAGUAUAAGAUGUAUCCGAGUGCAUGAUGUAUAUUCUGGUAAAAAAAAUAAGUUUUAAUCUGGAUGAGCGCAUAAUGUAUAUUUUUUGAUAUUUUUUUGUUUUUCUUAUUUUUCUUAUUUAAUACUUGUAUUUGGUUGCUGUUUCGAUGGUGGAUGUGAUGGUAAUGGUGGUAAUGAUUUUGGUUGUGUAUAUUAUGUUGUUGGUGAUUGCUAGGAUAAACCUAGAUUUUUCCGCGAAGUACACAAAAUGCACCUGAGUGCAUAAUGUAUAAUUCUAACAGGAAAUAGGUUUUGGUUGAUUGCACCCGAGUGCAUAAUGUAUA
Molecule: long non-coding RNA, 1598 nt
Organism: Papaver somniferum (opium poppy)
Lineage: Eukaryota; Viridiplantae; Streptophyta; Magnoliopsida; Ranunculales; Papaveraceae
Exons: 3
Source: RefSeq, a predicted model, not a curated record